ACCCGCACAAGCGGUGGAGGAUGUGGUUCAAUUCGAUGCUACGCGAAGAACCUUUACCUACCCUUGACAUGUCUGGAACCUUGGUGAGAGCCGAGGGUGCCUUCGGGAGCCAGAACACAGGUGCUGCAUGGCUGUCGUCAGCUCGUGUCGUGAGAUGUUCGGUUAAGUCCGCUAACGAGCGCAACCCUCGCUGUGUGUUAUAUGUGUCACACGGGACUGCCGGUCUUAAGCCGGAGGAAGGUGGGGAUGAUGUCAAGUCAGCAUGGCCUUUAUAUCCUGGGCUACACACACGCUACAAUGGCCAACACAAUAGGUUGCUAAGCCGCGAGGUGGCGCCAAUCCAUAAAGUUGGUCUCAGUUCAGAUUGUAGGCUGCAACCCGCCUGCAUGAAGAUGGAGUUGCUAGUAACCGCAGGUCAGCUAUACUGCGGUGAAUACGUUCCCGGGGCUU
RNAcentral lists this ribosomal RNA (450 nucleotides) under uncultured Leptolinea sp. RNAcentral's name for it is "bacterial SSU rRNA". It matches the Rfam family "Bacterial small subunit ribosomal RNA", at positions 919 to 1382 of the family's 1533-position model. The record is from RNAcentral. Lineage: Bacteria; Bacillati; Chloroflexota; Anaerolineae; Anaerolineales; Anaerolineaceae.